Molecule: ribosomal RNA, 376 nt
Filed under: uncultured bacterium
Lineage: Bacteria
Description: bacterial SSU rRNA
Rfam family: Bacterial small subunit ribosomal RNA
Source: RNAcentral
CACGUAGGGUCCGAGCGUUGUCCGGAAUUACUGGGCGUAAAGCGCGCGCAGGCGGUCCAUUCAGUCGCUGGUGAAAGCCCCACGCUCAACGUGGGAAGGUCCGGCGAGACGGGUGGACUGGAGGCAGGGAGAGGUCGGUGGAAUUCCGGGUGUAGUGGUGAAAUGCGUAGAGAUCCGGAGGAACACCAGAGGCGAAGGCGGCCGACUGGACCUGACCUGACGCUGAGGCGCGAAGGCGUGGGGAGCGAACGGGAUUAGAUACCCCGGUAGUCCACGCGGUAAACGAUGUGCACUGGGUAUGGCGGGAGUUGACCCCUGCCGUGCCGGCGCUAACGCAGUAAGUGCACCGCCUGGGGAGUACGGCCGCAAGGCUAAA